This 210-nucleotide ribosomal RNA is filed under the name Drechmeria sinensis. RNAcentral's name for it is "partial large subunit ribosomal RNA". The record is from RNAcentral. Lineage: Eukaryota; Fungi; Ascomycota; Sordariomycetes; Hypocreales; Ophiocordycipitaceae.
AAGCGCUCGCCACCAGACUUGCGCCCGGCGGAUCAUCCAGCGUUCUCGCUGGUGCACUCCGCCGGGCGCAGGCCAGCAUCGGUUCGCCGCGGGGGACAAAGGCGGCGGGAACGUGGCUCCCCCGGGAGUGUUAUAGCCCGCCGCGCAAUGCCCUGGGGCGGACCGAGGUCCGCGCUCACGCAAGGAUGCUGGCGUAAUGGUGAUCAGCGA